This is a long non-coding RNA of Medicago truncatula (barrel medic), 645 nucleotides long. RefSeq lists it as uncharacterized. The record is from RefSeq and is a predicted model, not a curated record. Lineage: Eukaryota; Viridiplantae; Streptophyta; Magnoliopsida; Fabales; Fabaceae. The transcript is spliced from 3 exons.
UUAUUAUAUCUUAUAAUUAUAUAAUCUAAUGUGUUACCCUAGCAGCUGCACAAUCUCUCUGUAACCACACCAAAUCCUAACAGCCGCCACACAUAGACUCUUCCUCUUCUCCAUUACCUCUUAUCUCCACCGUUUCUUUCACCUUGACCUUGCUCCUCCGUUCCAGAUCUCUUUAUUCCGGUGACCACACAGACGAAGAUAGGUGGGAUUCAUCACCCAUCGAUCACCUUGGAUUUGGGUUUUUCACCUGAAAAUCGAUCGAGGCCGACCGAUGUCCACCCUUAUUUGGAUCCAUUCAGAUCAAGGUAUUCCGGUGAAUGUUGCAGCUAAAGUUGUGGCUCUGUAGGAGAAUUCAUUCCUCCCGGGUAAACUCUGCCGUCAACUACAUGGACUAAUCUCUUGAGUUGAGUGGAAAAUCUCUUCGACAAAAAAUUUAACAAUGUUGCAUUCUCAGGGCUGAAUUCAAACUCUGGACCUCAGAUAAAGUUGGAGAUCCCUUGCAUUCUCAUUGGUUUAUAUGAUGUAUAUAUGUGUUUGCGUUGUUUAAAAAUGAAUGAAAAAAAAAUCUUACAAAACAAAUUAUUAUAAUUUUAUUAAUUUUGUAAGAUGCAGCUUUUUAACUCUAAAACAUAAUUUUGAAUCAUC